Molecule: ribosomal RNA, 140 nt
Filed under: Micrococcineae bacterium 1914_FYM(11a)
Lineage: Bacteria; Bacillati; Actinomycetota; Actinomycetes; Micrococcales
Description: partial 16S ribosomal RNA
Rfam family: Bacterial small subunit ribosomal RNA
Source: RNAcentral
UGGGGAAUAUUGCACAAUGGGCGCAAGCCUGAUGCAGCGACGCCGCGUGAGGGAUGACGGCCUUCGGGUUGUAAACCUCUUUCAGUAGGGAAGAAGCGAAAGUGACGGUACCUGCAGAAGAAGCACCGGCUAACUACGUG